Equus caballus (horse) is the source of this 1430-nucleotide non-coding RNA. The record is from RefSeq and is a predicted model, not a curated record. NCBI's taxonomy places the organism in Eukaryota, Metazoa, Chordata, Mammalia, Perissodactyla, Equidae.
GGUAAUACCUCUUUUCUUCCUUUUUAGCCUGUAUAUGCAAACAGAUUUCCAGUACCAACUUACGUAGCCAAGCAACCUCAGCAGUUCCCAUCAAGGCCACCUCCACCACAACCAAAAGUAUCAUCUCAGGGACAUUUCAUUCCUGCUCGUCCUGCUCCAGCACCUCCUUUAUAUAGUACCCUCACUUGAUUUUUUUUUUACCUUUCCUUUUGCAGAUAUCUUCAAGGAACUGAGCUAAUACUUUUUUUUCCUGAUAUUUUCUUGAAAAGCCUUUCUUCCUGCUGCAAUAUGAAUGAGAAAACAAUACUGCAAAACAAAUUUUACUAACGCAGAAAACCAAGAAAUUGAAUAGUAGGAAUUGAGAAAUAUAAGAAAUGCAGUAAAGCCAAGGAAUUUAGAAUAACAUUUCCAUUUCCAUCCCUGAAUAAGUCUUAUUCAGUCAUGUGUGAGGUUAAUGCACCUAACAUGGCUUAUAUUAUUUUGAACAUGUUAUUGUAAUGAUUCUCAAAUAAAUUGUAUUGGUUUGUUUUGUCAAUAUGUGCUUAAAUGUAAUUCUGAAUUUUGAUCUUAGUUAUCAUUAAUGUAGUUUCUGGUUGAACAUGUGAUAAUCUAAUACCUAUGAAAACUGACUGAUUAGCUACCAAUAAUAUCUAAUAUUUUUCAUCUUGCACAGACUAAUAAUCAUCAUAUCUCAUUCACUACAUGAAUAAAGGAAUAUUUUGUCUUCAGAAUAAUGCACAAAACCCACAACUGAGAUAUCAUAAUAUUUUGAAAGUACAAAGUACACUACAAGUGUGUAUGUGUGUAUUCACACACAGUUAUUUUCUUCCAUUUUUAUGUUCAUUCUAUGGAUAAAUGAUUCUGUGGAUCUAUCUAUGGGUAAGGAGUGUUAGAAAAUUUAAUUUAAUAGUAGAAAUUCUAUUAUGAAUCAUGCUAAAGCAUGACAUCCUUUUACAAUAGCAUUAUUUUAAAUAAAUUCUAAACUUUAAGGUACAAAGUAUUUAAUAGAACUAAUCAGAUAUGCUGUUGAUUCAUGGCUAUAAUAAAGCAGGAGCAAUUAUAAUAUCUUCAAUCAACUGAGCUGUCAUAAAACCACUUUAGAAUUUCAUGAGCACUUUAAGUCUAAAAUCUGAAACUUCAAAGCUUGCUAUUAAUAUAAUUUAGAAUGUUUACAUUUUCUAAGGUGUGCUGGAUCAUGUCUCUGUUGACACUAAUAUUUUCAAAGAAAUUGGCCUGGAGAAAGGAAGGAAGAAAAGGUUUUCUUAGAUAAAUGCAAAAAAGUUAGUGUGGUAUCUGUGAGUUAUCAUCACAGCUGUGUUAAAAAAUAAAUUUUUACUGUGGAAGAAAUGGUAUGGAUGGUAAAAUUUUAAACAUUUAAAAAUUUUUCAUAACCUUUCAUAAUAAAGUUUAAUAUAGCUUUAUUAACUGAA